RNAcentral lists this ribosomal RNA (447 nucleotides) under uncultured bacterium. Its description in RNAcentral is "bacterial SSU rRNA". It matches the Rfam family "Bacterial small subunit ribosomal RNA", at positions 355 to 825 of the family's 1533-position model. The record is from RNAcentral.
UGGGGAAUAUUGGACAAUGGGCGCAAGCCUGAUCCAGCCAUGCCGCGUGAGUGACGAAGGUCUUCGGAUUGUAAAGCUCUUUUAGCAGGGAAGAUAAUGACGGUACCUGCAGAAUAAGCCCCGGCUAACUUCGUGCCAGCAGCCGCGGUAAUACGAAGGGGGCUAGCGUUGUUCGGAAUUACUGGGCGUAAAGCGCACGUAGGCGGAUUGAUAAGUUAGAGGUGAAAUCCCGGGGCUCAACCUCGGAACUGCCUUUGAUACUGUUAGUCUCGAGUCCGAUAGAGGUGAGUGGAAUUCCUAGUGUAGAGGUGAAAUUCGUAGAUAUUAGGAAGAACACCAGUGGCGAAGGCGGCUCACUGGAUCGGUACUGACGCUGAGGUGCGAAAGCGUGGGGAGCAAACAGGAUUAGAUACCCUCGUAGUCCCUGAGCGGGCUGGCAAGGCGCAU